Molecule: transfer RNA, 77 nt
Filed under: Pseudodesulfovibrio sp. S3
Lineage: Bacteria; Pseudomonadati; Thermodesulfobacteriota; Desulfovibrionia; Desulfovibrionales; Desulfovibrionaceae
Also listed under: 1 other name
Description: tRNA-Arg
Rfam family: tRNA
About the family: Transfer RNA (tRNA) molecules are approximately 80 nucleotides in length. Their secondary structure includes four short double-helical elements and three loops (D, anti-codon, and T loops).
Source: RNAcentral
GGGCUAUUAGCUCAGUUGGAUAGAGUGCUUGCCUCCGGAGCAAGAGGUCGCAAGUUCGAAUCUUGCAUAGCCCACCA